AGAGUUUGAUCAUGGCUCAGAUUGAACGCUGGCGGCAUGCCUUACACAUGCAAGUCGAACGGCAGCGCGGGGCAACCUGGCGGCGAGUGGCGAACGGGUGAGUAAUAUAUCGGAACGUGCCCUAGAGUGGGGGAUAACUAGUCGAAAGACUAGCUAAUACCGCAUACGAUCUACGGAUGAAAGUGGGGGAUCGCAAGACCUCAUGCUCCUGGAGCGGCCGAUAUCUGAUUAGCUAGUUGGUAGGGUAAAAGCCUACCAAGGCGACGAUCAGUAGCUGGUCUGAGAGGACGACCAGCCACACUGGGACUGAGACACGGCCCAGACUCCUACGGGAGGCAGCAGUGGGGAAUUUUGGACAAUGGGGGCAACCCUGAUCCAGCAAUGCCGCGUGAGUGAAGAAGGCCUUCGGGUUGUAAAGCUCUUUUGUCAGGGAAGAAACGGUCUGGGCUAAUACCCUGGGCUAAUGACGGUACCUGAAGAAUAAGCACCGGCUAACUACGUGCCAGCAGCCGCGGUAAUACGUAGGGUGCGAGCGUUAAUCGGAAUUACUGGGCGUAAAGCGUGCGCAGGCGGUUAUGUAAGACAGAUGUGAAAUGCCCGGGCUUAACCUGGGAACUGCAUUUGUGACUGCAUGGCUAGAGUGUGUCAGAGGGGGGUAGAAUUCCACGUAGCAGUGAAAUGCGUAGAUAUGUGGAGGAAUACCGAUGGCGAAGGCAGCCCCCUGGGAUAACACUGACGCUCAUGCACGAAAGCGUGGGGAGCAAACAGGAUUAGAUACCCUAGUAGUCC
RNAcentral lists this ribosomal RNA (789 nucleotides) under uncultured bacterium. Its description in RNAcentral is "bacterial SSU rRNA". It matches the Rfam family "Bacterial small subunit ribosomal RNA", at positions 8 to 796 of the family's 1533-position model. The record is from RNAcentral.